UUAUUACGGAGAGUUUGAUCCUGGCUCAGGACGAACGCUGGCGGCGGGCUUAACACAUGCAAGUCGAACGAGAAGCUCAGAGCUUGCUCUGAGCGGAAAGUGGCGCACGGGUGCGUAACGCGUAGGCAACCUGCCUUCGAGAGGGGGAUAACUACCGGAAACGGUGGCUAAUACCCCAUAUUGUCUGUUUAUCGCAUGAUAGACAGGUGAAAGCCUUCGGGUGCUCGGAGAUGGGCCUGCGUCGGAUUAGGUAGUUGGUAAGGUAACGGCUUACCAAGCCUGCGAUCCGUAGCUGGUCUGAGAGGAUGAUCAGCCACACUGGCACUGAGACACGGGCCAGACUCCUACGGGAGGCAGCAGUGAGGAAUAUUGCGCAAUGGGCGAAA
Molecule: ribosomal RNA, 386 nt
Filed under: Rhodothermales bacterium
Lineage: Bacteria; Pseudomonadati; Rhodothermota; Rhodothermia; Rhodothermales
Description: bacterial SSU rRNA
Rfam family: Bacterial small subunit ribosomal RNA
Source: RNAcentral